Molecule: ribosomal RNA, 468 nt
Filed under: uncultured bacterium
Lineage: Bacteria
Description: partial 16S ribosomal RNA
Rfam family: Bacterial small subunit ribosomal RNA
Source: RNAcentral
GACGAACGCUGGCGGCGUGCUUAACACAUGCAAGUCGAACGGAAAGGCCCUGCUUUUGUGGGGUGCUCGAGUGGCGAACGGGUGAGUAACACGUGAGUAACCUGCCCUUGACUUUGGGAUAACUUCAGGAAACUGGGGCUAAUACCGGAUAGGAGCUCCUGCUGCAUGGUGGGGGUUGGAAAGUUUCGGCGGUUGGGGAUGGACUCGCGGCUUAUCAGCUUGUUGGUGGGGUAGUGGCUUACCAAGGCUUUGACGGGUAGCCGGCCUGAGAGGGUGACCGGCCACAUUGGGACUGAGAUACGGCCCAGACUCCUACGGGAGGCAGCAGUGGGGAAUAUUGCACGAUGGGCGGAAGCCUGAUGCAGCAACGCCGCGUGCGGGAUGACGGCCUUCAGGUUGUAAACCGCUUUCGCCUGUGACGAAGCGUGAGUGACGGUAAUGGGUAAAGAAGCACCGGCUAACUACGUG